This 247-nucleotide ribosomal RNA is filed under the name uncultured bacterium. Its description in RNAcentral is "partial 16S ribosomal RNA". It matches the Rfam family "Bacterial small subunit ribosomal RNA", at positions 523 to 769 of the family's 1533-position model. The record is from RNAcentral.
AUACGUAGGGAGCGAGCGUUGUCCGGAAUUACUGGGUGUAAAGGGAGCGUAGGCGGGAUCGCAAGUCAGAUGUGAAAACUAUGGGCUUAACCCAUAAACUGCAUUUGAAACUGUGGUUCUUGAGUGAAGUAGAGGUAAGCGGAAUUCCUAGUGUAGCGGUGAAAUGCGUAGAUAUUAGGAGGAACAUCAGUGGCGAAGGCGGCUUACUGGGCUUUAACUGACGCUGAGGCUCGAAAGCGUGGGGAGC